This 427-nucleotide ribosomal RNA is filed under the name uncultured bacterium. Its description in RNAcentral is "bacterial SSU rRNA". It matches the Rfam family "Bacterial small subunit ribosomal RNA", at positions 355 to 775 of the family's 1533-position model. The record is from RNAcentral.
UCGGGAAUUUUGGGCAAUGGGCGCAAGCCUGACCCAGCAACGCCGCGUGAAGGAUGAAGGUCUUCGGAUUGUAAACUCCUGUUGCUCGGGACGAAAAGCUUCGACCGAAUACGUCGAAGUCUGACGGUACCGAGUGAGGAAGCCCCGGCUAACUCUGUGCCAGCAGCCGCGGUAAUACAGAGGGGGCAAGCGUUGUUCGGAAUUACUGGGCGUAAAGGGCGCGUAGGCGGCCUGCUAAGUCGAACGUGAAAUCCCUGGGCUCAACCCAGGAACUGCGUCCGAUACUGGUUGGCUUGAAUCCGGGAGAGGGAUGUGGAAUUCCAGGUGUAGCGGUGAAAUGCGUAGAUAUCUGGAGGAACACCGGUGGCGAAGGCGACAUCCUGGACCGGUAUUGACGCUGAGGCGCGAAAGCCAGGGGAGCAAACGG